GCUGCUGGGAACCGGCCGGGGUGCCGGGUCGAAAGACAGACGCGCGGGCCGGGCGUGCGCGGGCUUGGUGGAGGGCGGGAAGGCUGAAGGGCGGUGACAGGUCGCACUGCCUCGCGAGGGCCAGAACGCCCAUUUCUGCAGAGCUGCCUUAAUCCAUGUUCCCUUCGGGAUGCUGGUAUCCAACUGAGAAGUUGACGGAGCAUCUAUCGUGUGCCAGACACUGUGCUAAGUGCUAACGAGAAAUCGGUGAGCAAAACAGAAAAGAAAAAAAAAGAAGAAACGACUGCCAGCAUUGAACUUAGUACCUAGCAAAAGAUGGGGUCCUGGUAUGUUGCCCAAGCUGGUCUCAAACUCCUGGCCUCAAGCUAUCCUCCUGCCUCAACCUCCUGAAUUGGUAAGCUACAUUUUAAACACACUAUUAUUAUUCAUGGAAACUGACCAACUAAUUAUUCAGAAGAAAUUAAUUCUUCAACAUUAGCAUUUGGAGCUGGGAUGUUUUCAAUAAGCCCAGAUAGUUACUGAAUAUUUUUUCCCAAGGCCACAAGUCUUGGGAAAAGAAUAGUUUGUUUGCUUUUCUUUUAUUUUCUUUUUCUUAGACUUAAAAUCUUGGCUUGAGGCUGUGGUAUCUGAGCUGGCAAAUGGAAAAUUUGGACUGUCUAAUAAAAGUUGGGAAAGUGCAGAUUGUAAAAGAUGCGAGGGGUUGUUAAGUGGACAGUAUUAUUGGACAGGAGGGAAAUCUAUAGUAUUAACAGUUCAGUAGUAGUUCUGGCAUUGGGCACACAGGACAGGAGUAAACUGAGCAAGGCAUAGGAGAUCCCGUGCCUCCCUAUCACUGUCAGGUCACAAUGAGCUCCUCCUGCAUGAACAGCCAGAACCAACCACAAUGAAGGAUGCCAUGAGUCAGGUAGGCAAAGGAAAUCAGAAAGACCUGUGGAAGAAAAGCUGCACUGCCUAGCUUCAGAGCUCAAAGAGUCUGACUGCAGGCACAAGGAAAACAUAGAAUUAGAAAAAAACCUUUUCAGAAAGCAACUCUGCGGAGACAGGCUUGACUGAGCCCUGCCCCCAAGUUAAAUUGCUGCUGAAAACAGGUGCUGAUUGGACAUGCAAACUGAGAACUGCUAGUAUUACCAGCCAGAAGAAAAUAGUUCAUCUGAAGCAGUUAAAUUCCUGAAGAAUAUAUUACUGGCAUCGGUCCCACCCAAGUCUGAGUAGGAAUUUCAACUUCUAGUUGACCUCUUAUGGUUCUGACAAAACCAUACACCAUUCUUGAGGAUUUUAUGAACUCUAUUCACUAGAUUAUUUGGAAGGAACAGACUUUGUGCCUUAUCACUGUGUUGAUCAUGAGGUAACCACAGAGUGCAAAAUGGAGUAAUUUUGGAUUUUUUUGUCCUUUUCAUUGAAGUGUAAUUUACAUAAAGUACAAUUUACAGCCUUCGAUAUAUGGUUCUAUGAAUUUUGAUAAAUCAUCACAGUUGUACAAUCACAGUCUCUCCCUCUCAUACCCAGCCCCUGGCAAAAACUUACCUGUUUUCUUUCCCUAUCCUUUUACCUUUCCCAGAAAGUCACAUUAAUGGAAUCAUAUGUAAUGUAUUCCCUUUGGAGUCUGAAUUUGUGCACUUAGAAAAAUGCUUUGGAACUUUGUCCAUGUUGUUUCAUGUGUCAGUAGUUUGUUACUUUGUAUUGCUGAGUAGUAGUGCAUUAUGUGCAUAUAUGGACAUGUACCACAGUUUAAUCAUUGUUUAGAAGACACUGGGUUGUUUUCCCUUUUAGGAGAUUAUGAAUAAGCCUGGCAUAAAAAUUUGCAUAGAAAUAUGUGUGUGAAUACAAGUUUUUUAUUCUCUCAGGUGAAUGUACAGAAGCAGGAUUGCUGGAUUGUAUGGUAAUUGUGUGCUUACUAUUAUGAGAAACUGCUAGCUGAUUUUUGAAAGUGGCUAUUCUGCAUUGCCACCAGCAAUAUAUGUUGCUGAACAUUUUUGCCAGCACUGGGCAUUGUCAUUAAAAAAAAUCGCCAGCCUGAUAUGUGUGAAGUGAUACCACAUACGGGUUUUAAUUUGUAUUUUCCCAACAGCAGCAUGUUAAAUUCAUGUGUUUAUCUUCUAUAGUAAACUGCCCAAAAAUUUUUUGCCCAUUUUUAAAAGGUUGUUUGUUUAUCUUAAUAUUCUGUUUUGAUGUAGUAAAAUUUAUUCUUUAUACAUUGGGCUUUAUGUGUUCUACCUAAUAGAGUCUUUACUUACCCCAAGAUGGUAAAGGUCUCUUUCCUAUAUUAUAUUCUAGAAGUUUUAUAGAUUUGAUUUUAGAUAUAGGUUUAUCAUCCAUUUCAAUUUAAAAAAUUUUAAAUCUAUUUUUUCUUUUCUUUUCUUUUUUUUUUUUUUUUGAGUCAGUGUCUGGCUCUGCCACCCAGGCUGGAGUGCAGUGGUGCGAUCUCGGCUCACAGCAACCUCUGCCUCCUGUGCUCAAGAGAUCCUCUCACCUCAGCCUCCUAUGUAUCUAAGACUACAGGUCACACCACCAUACCUGGCUAAUUUUUGUGUUUUUUUUUUUGGUUUUUUUUUUUUUUUUUUGUAGACACAGGGUUUUACCAUGUUGCCUAGGCUGGUCUUGAACUUCUGAGCUCAAAUGAUCUGCCCACCUUGGCCUCCCAAAGUGCUAGGAUUACAGGCGUGAUCCACCAUGCUUGGCCUCAUCCAUUUCAGUUUAACUUUUGUAUAAAUUGAUGGUAUGGGUUAAGCUUCGAUUUUUUUCAAAUAGGUAUCCAAUUGUUCCUGCACCAAAUAUAGAGGUAGGCUGAAAGAUGGGAGGUAAGGAGAGAUAAAGGCCUUUUUAAAGGAUAAGGAGACGAAGGUAGGGGGAGGUGAAAGUGUACUAAAUGUUUUAUCUUCCUGGCAUUGGAAAAAAAUGGGGAAGAAAUAGAACAUUUUGAUAGAGGCCACAUUUGAUAUGCUAUUUUAAGUAAAUAGUAAAGAAAUAUGUGUAUUAGAAGAAAGGAAAAAUAGCAAACAGCAAUACAAAAUAAAUAGUAAAUAUAAAGCAAGCUGUAAAACAAAAUAAAACGUGAUACUUUAUAUUAUAUUUGAAUGGACUGAUCUCUCUCGUUAAAUUACAGAGGCAGGAGAUUAAAAAUACACUUAAAUAAAUUGAUACAUAUUUAACUUAAGGGGUUGGCCAAAAAUAUUAGGCAAAUGCAAAUAAAAAAAGAUACAAGUGGAAUUUAAAGUUAAAAGCACUAAACAGGACAAAUAAGAACAUUAUAUAAUUGUAAAAAUCAAGACUCUAAUAAACAUAAACAUAAACCUUUGUUCAGUAAACAACAUAGCAGCUAAAGAGAGUGGAAGGAGGUCAUUGAUUUAUAAACAGAAAUUAUUGGGUGAGGUUUUAGGAAAGAUAUGUAAAGAAGGCUGACUCAACUGGAAAAUGUCUUUUGCCCCUUCCCUUUCUUAUUUCUUCUGUCCAUAAUGUUGGAUAUGAUGGCCGAAAUUGCAACAGCCAUCUUGUGGCCAUGAAGCAACUUUGAGGAUACAAAGUAGAAUUCAAGAUUGCAAAGCUCAAAGGAAUCCAGAUUGUUAAUGACAUCAUAGAGCUGGCAUAUCUUUCCUGGACUAUCUGUUGCCAGAUUUGCUUUGUGUGUGUGAGAGAGAGAAAAUAAAUCUCUUUCUUGUUGAAAUUACUGUUGUGCUGGUUUUCUUUCUAGCAGCUGAAAACAAUUCCUGUCUGAUACAUAGAGGAUUUAAAUAACACAAUCAAUAAACUUGAGUUAAUAGGUAUGUGUGGAUUGGUGAGCAUACUAUUUUUGAGGAAAAGGGAGAAAGUAAUGGAAUAUUUAAAAUAUCAAUCAGGAUUUGGUCCAAAAAGAAAGAUGAAACAGAAUUUUAAAAUUAGUUCCCUUACAGAUUAUAUUUAAUCUGUAAAUAUAAUUUACAGAUCCAAUUUAAAUAAAAUGAUAAUAUAAAGGCGGCCUUUAUCUGCUUAUAUUAAAAACACAUUUAUAAAUAAACUUUGGAUCAAAGAAAAAAAGAAAAUUGAAAACUAUUCAGAAAGCAACGGGAGUAAUUUAAACCACAAUAUGUAUUCUCAGAGGAAAAUUCAUAGCCUUAAAUGUCUUCAUUUUAAUAAAAGAAUAUAACAAAUAAUUAUUCAUCUAAAAUAUUAGAAAAAGAACAGUGAAAAAGCAAUUCAGAAAUGUAAAAGCUAAAAUUAAUGAAUUAAGAAAAAUGUUAGUAGAUAGGAUAAAACGCAAAUGCUUUUACAUUGAAAAUACCUAUAAAUUAGCUAAACCCUUUGCAAGAUUAAGAAAAAACGUAGAGAAACCAAAAAUUAACAAAAUUUGCAAGCAGAAAGAAGAUGUAAACACAUAUAAAAUAUAUAGUGAGAAUUAUAAGUAAAUAAUUACAUAUGUGUGUUUAGCAGCAGAUCUGAAAACAGAGAGGGCUUACUGAUUUCCUUUUAGUAUAUGAUAACAAAAAUUGACCAAAGUAGAAGUUAGAAAAAGGAAAAGACUAAUUUCAUGUAAGAGAUUGAAAAAAUAAUUUACAAUGUACCAUGGCAAAAACCACCAGAAAAAUGUUGGAUAAACUAUUCCAAACAUCUCAAAAGUGUUAUCUGAGCUCAAAAGCAAAUAAGGGCAAUUCCCAGGGAAUGAACCAAAUGAAAUUGAAAACCACUGGGGUAAGCUAGAACCGGAGCUGAAGCUAUGGCUGUCAUGCUUGCCAAUCUCAGUUAAAAAAAAAAAAAAUGUGGGGUUAGAAUACAAUGACUGUGGCAGGACAGAAGAUAAACUCAUGAAUCAUCACAUAAAACUGGGGUAUUCCUAAUGAAAAAUGAACUAAAAAAUUGUUUUCCAAAGUGUUUAUAUGUGUACAUACUCCCACCAGUACUUCCUAAUGAUAUUCAUGCUGAAAAACAUUUGGUAUUAUCAGACUUCUGAAUUUUUGACAAGCUAGUGGAUAUAAAAUUAUAUUUAUAUUCCUCUGAUUAUUAAUUUAUUAAUGAGGUUGAAGAUCUUUUUACAUGGUUAUAUGACAUUCAUUUUUCACCUUCUGUGAAAUGUUUGUUCACGACUUUUACCCAGUUUUCUAUUCAAUUGUUUGUUUUAUUGAUUUGUAGGAGUUCUUUAUGUAUUCUAGAUAUUAAUGUUUUGACAGGCAUAUUUGUUGCAAAUAUCCUCUCAUAGUUUGACUUGUCUUUUUAAUUUGUCUUUACUUUGCUUUUUGCUUUUUUUUAAAAAAAAAUUCUUAAUCCAAUGACAGAUUAUGGGUUGUCUUUUUCUGUGAACAAAAGUUAAUGAUUUUAAUAAAUUCAAAGUUAUUAUUUUAUUGUCAUUCUUUAUGUGUCUUAAGAAAUGCUUUCUUAGUGUGAGUUUGUAAAGAUAUAGUCCCAUGGUAUGUUUUAAAUUUUAAAAUUUGUUUUGUCACAUUAAAAUUUUAACCCCCAAAAUGGGAGAAGGGCAGAGCAAGAUGGCCAAAUAAAAUGCUCCACCAACUGUCCCACCCGCAAAGACACCAAUUUAACAUCCAUACUAAAAACAAAAAAGCACAUUCAUAAGAAUCCCAAAUCAGGUAACCAGCUUGGGCACAGUGGGGCAGAGUACCAAGCAGACUCUUGGGAUUCCUUUUUCCAGGACUUGACUCUUUGAUGGCAUUCCUGGACCUGCCCUGGGCCAGCGGGGAGCCCACUGCCCCAAAACCUGAGUCCUAGGCCAGGCAGCAUUCACCACACGUUAACUGAUAAUCCUUUGGGGCCUUAAGGGAACAUCUGCGGUAGUCUGGCAGUAGGUUCCAUGACCUGUGGUGGCACUGGCUAUGGGGUGAGGCUCCUCUGACUUUGGAAAGGGGAGGAAACAGUGGGAAAGGCUGCAUCUCAUGGUUUGAGUGCCAGCUCAACCACAGUACAGUAGAACACCAGGUAGACUUCUAAGGUUUUUGACUCCAGUCUCCAGCUCCUGGAUGGACAGCACCUCUGGAUCUGCCUGUGGCCCUGGGGAACUUGCUGCCUUGAAGAGAAGAACAAGAGGCUAGCUGGCUUUACCAACUGCUGAUUGUAGAGUCCCAGGGCCUUGAGCAAAUGUAGGCGGUAGCCAGGUAGUGGUUACAGCAAGCUAUGGACAACACAUAGUGCUGUGCUGGCUUCAAGUCUGACCCAGUGCAGUUCUAGUGGUGGUGGAUGCAAGGGUGCUUGUAUCACUCCACCCCUAGCUCCAGGUAGCUUAGAACAGAGAGAGAGACUCCAUUUGUUUGGGAGAAAGUAAAGGAAGAGAACAAGAGUCUCUGCCUGGUAAUUCAGGGAAGUCUUUCAGAUCUUAUUCAAGACCAUAAGGUGGUACCUCUACGAGUCUCCAAGAACCACAGAGUUACAGGGCUUGGGCUUCCCCCUAAUGCAAAUAUGGGUUAGAUCGCAACACUCAAGUCCUUUUGAAUACCUGGAAAGCCUUCCUAAGAAAGAUUGGUACAAACAAGCCCAGACAUCGAAGACUACAAUAAAUACCUAACUCUUCAAUGCCCAGACACAGAUGAACAUCCAAGAGCAUCAACACCAUCCAGGAAAAGAACCUCACCAAAUGAACUAAAUAAGGUGCCAAGGACCAAUCCUGGAGAAACAGAGAUGUGAACUUUCAGACAGAAAAUUCAGAAUAGCUGUGUUGAAGAAACUCAAAGAAAUUCAACAUAACACAGAGAAGAAAUUCAGAAUUGUAUCAGAUAAAUGUAACAAAGAGGCAGAAAUAAAUGAAAGGAAUCAAGCAGAAAUUCUGGACUUGAAAAAUGCAGUUGACAUACUGAAGAAUGCAUUAGAUUCUCUUAAUAGCAGGAUUGAUAAAGCAGAAGAGAUAAUUAGCGAUCUUGAAGACAGGCUAUUUGAAAGUACACAGUCACAGGACACAGAAAAGAAUAAAAAACAAGGAAGCAUGCCUACAGGAUAUAGAAAAUAGCCUCGAAAUGGCAAAUCUAAGGGUUAUUGGCCUUAAAGAGGAGAUAGAGAAAGAGAAGGAUUAGAAAGUUUAUUAAAAGGGACAAUUACAGAAAACUUCCCAAACCUAGAGAGAGAUAUCAACAAUCAAUUACAAGAAGGUUAUGGAACAUUAAGCAGAUUUAACCCCCAAAAAGACUACUUCCAGGCAUUUAAUAAUCAAACUCCCAAAGGUCAAGGAUAAAGAAGGGAUCUUAAAUGCAGAAAGAUAAAAGAAACAGAUAACAUACAAUGGAGCCCCAAUACAUCUGGCAGCAGAUUUCUCAGUGAAAACCCUACAGGCCAGGAGAGAGUGUCAUGACAUAUUUAAAGUGCUAAAGGAAAAAAUCUUUUAACCUAGAAUAGUAUAUCCGGUAAGAAUAGCUUUCAAAUCUGAAGAAGAAAUACUUUCCCAACAAACAAAAGCUGAGGGAUUUCAUCAACAUCAGAGCUUCCCUACAAGAAAUGCUAAAGGAAGUACUUCAAUCAGAAAGAAAAUGACGUUAAUGAUCAAGAUGAAAUCAUCUGAAGGUAUGCAACUCAAUGGCAAUAAUAAGUAUAUAGAAAAAUGCAUAAUAUUAUAACACUGUAACUGUGGUGAGUGAACUCCUCUUAUGUAGAAAGACUAAAGGAUAAACCAAUUAAAAAUAAUAAUAAUAACUGCCAGGCACGGUGGCUCAUGUCUGUAAUCCCAGCACUUUGGGAGGCCGAGGCAGGCGGAUCACUAGGUCAGG
RNAcentral lists this long non-coding RNA (7670 nucleotides) under Homo sapiens (human). RNAcentral describes it as "non-protein coding FMR1-AS1:17". Lineage: Eukaryota; Metazoa; Chordata; Mammalia; Primates; Hominidae. The record is from RNAcentral.